GAUGAACGCUGACAGAAUGCUUAACACAUGCAAGUCUUUGGCGAAGCUGUGCUUGCACAGCCUAGCCAAGGCGGACGGGUGAGUAACGCGUAAGGAACUUGCCCUGCAGUCAGGGAUAACAGACGGAAACGACUGAUAAGACCUGGUAAAGUCAGGCGGACUCAUGUCCAGCCUGAUGAAAAGAGAUGCUGCUGGAGAGCCUUGCGUCCUAUUAGCUUGUUGGUGGGGUAACGGCCCACCAAGGCGAUGAUAGGUAGCCGGCCUGAGAGGGUGGACGGCCACAAGGGGACUGAGAUACGGCCCUUACUCCUACGGGAGGCAGCAGUGGGGAAUAUUGGACAAUGGGGGCAACCCUGAUCCAGCAAUUCUGUGUGCACGAUGAAGGUUUUCGGAUUGUAAAGUGCUUUCAGCAGGGAAGAAAAAAAUGACGGUACCUGCAGAAGAAGCGACGGCUAAAUACGUG
This 463-nucleotide ribosomal RNA is filed under the name uncultured bacterium. RNAcentral's name for it is "partial 16S ribosomal RNA". It matches the Rfam family "Bacterial small subunit ribosomal RNA", at positions 28 to 507 of the family's 1533-position model. The record is from RNAcentral.